GAGGUAUUAAUAAAACGAUUAUACGACUUUGUCAAAGUUGAAUUAUAGGUGAAAACCCUUUAUACUUCC
This 69-nucleotide transfer RNA is filed under the name Calyptophractus retusus (Greater fairy armadillo). RNAcentral's name for it is "tRNA-Asp". Lineage: Eukaryota; Metazoa; Chordata; Mammalia; Cingulata; Chlamyphoridae. The record is from RNAcentral.